GCUCAGUACGGCGAGUGAGCGGCAAAAGCUCAAAUUUGAAAUCUAGCACCUUCGGUGUUCGAGUUGUAAUUUGAAGAUGGUAACCUUGGGUUUGGCUCUUGUCUAUGUUCCUUGGAACAGGACGUCAUAGAGGGUGAGAAUCCCGUCUGAUGAGAUGCCCAUUCCUAUGUAAGGUGCUAUCGAAGAGUCGAGUUGUUUGGGAAUGCAGCUCUAAGUGGGUGGUAAAUUCCAUCUAAAGCUAAAUAUUGGCGAGAGACCGAUAGCGAACAAGUACAGUGAUGGAAAGAUGAAAAGAACUUUGAAAAGAGAGUGAAAAAGUACGUGAAAUUGUUGAAAGGGAAGGGCAUUAGAUCAGACUUGGUGUUUUACGAUUAUCUUCUCUUCUUGAGUUGUGCACUCGUAUUUCACUGGGCCAGCAUCGAUUCGGAUGGCAAGAUAAUGGCAGUUGAAUGUGGCUUCACUUCGGUGGAGUGUUAUAGCUUCUGCUGAUAUUGCCUGUCUGGAUCGAGGGCUGCGUCUUUUGACUAGGAUGCUGGCGUAAUGAUCUAAUGCCGCCCGUCUUA
RNAcentral lists this ribosomal RNA (563 nucleotides) under Wickerhamomyces sp. H1Y23. Its description in RNAcentral is "eukaryotic LSU rRNA". It matches the Rfam family "Eukaryotic large subunit ribosomal RNA", at positions 78 to 656 of the family's 3401-position model. The record is from RNAcentral. Lineage: Eukaryota; Fungi; Ascomycota; Saccharomycetes; Phaffomycetales; Wickerhamomycetaceae. RNAcentral also lists the same sequence under 1 other name.